GAUGAACGCUGGCGGCGUGCCUAAUACAUGCAAGUCGAGCGAACAGACGAGGAGCUUGCUCCUCUGACGUUAGCGGCGGACGGGUGAGUAACACGUGGAUAACCUACCUAUAAGACUGGGAUAACUUCGGGAAACCGGAGCUAAUACCGGAUAAUAUAUUAAACCGCAUGGUUCAAUAUUGAAAGACGGUUUUGCUGUCACUUAUAGAUGGAUCCGCGCCGCAUUAGCUAGUUGGUAAGGUAACGGCUUACCAAGGCAACGAUGCGUAGCCGACCUGAGAGGGUGAUCGGCCACACUGGAACUGAGACACGGUCCAGACUCCUACGGGAGGCAGCAGUAGGGAAUCUUCCGCAAUGGGCGAAAGCCUGACGGAGCAACGCCGCGUGAGUGAUGAAGGUCUUCGGAUCGUAAAACUCUGUUAUUAGGGAAGAACAAAUGUGUAAGUAACUAUGCACGUCUUGACGGUACCUAAUCAGAAAGCCACGGCUAACUACGUG
This 497-nucleotide ribosomal RNA is filed under the name uncultured bacterium. Its description in RNAcentral is "partial 16S ribosomal RNA". It matches the Rfam family "Bacterial small subunit ribosomal RNA", at positions 28 to 507 of the family's 1533-position model. The record is from RNAcentral.